This 164-nucleotide small nuclear RNA is filed under the name Tropilaelaps mercedesae. RNAcentral's name for it is "U1 spliceosomal RNA". It matches the Rfam family "U1 spliceosomal RNA". Rfam says of the family: U1 is a small nuclear RNA (snRNA) component of the spliceosome (involved in pre-mRNA splicing). Its 5' end forms complementary base pairs with the 5' splice junction, thus defining the 5' donor site of an intron. The record is from Rfam by way of RNAcentral. Lineage: Eukaryota; Metazoa; Arthropoda; Arachnida; Mesostigmata; Laelapidae.
AUACUUACUUGGUGCUGGGCAAUCCGUGAUCACAAAGGCGGAUACCCCGGGAGGAGGUUGACUCAUUGCACAUGGGGUCAGCUAAUACCCGCCACGUCCCAAAUGGGGAUAGAUGGGGCAUGUAAUUUUUUUGUCACAGGGAGUUGCGUUCACGCAACUCCCAA